CCGCGGGAGUCGAAGCUCGAGCGCUAGCAGCACCCCGGGGCGUCACCUUGCCCUGAUAGGCCCGGGGCCUGCCACAGGGCUUGGUCGGGUCGGGCCGGGCCUGAGGAGAGCCGGCCUCGCCCCUCGCAGCCGCGCCGCUCAGCCCAGAAGCUACCGACAGAGAUGGGGGCGGGAGGCACGCAUAGCACAGGAAGCCGGAGUCCAAGUCUCUACAGACAGCACAAAAGUACUACACUUCAUGCACCUUUCAAAGGGCCUGCAACAGCAAUGACACCUUCAAACUGUGAAGCAAACUUCAAAUACUACAUGGAAGAUCAUGGCAUUCCUUUCACACAGUCACCACACAGCUGCUACAUUAAAAUGAACUGGUUCGAGAGAAAACCGUUUAAACCAGGACGUUUCAGAAGUUGCAAUGGACAAGUGGACUGCUAUCUACACUGACAGGUAUCAACACAGCAAAGGACUCCACAUCUUUGUUAAAAGCUACCAUGGAACUUAAAGAGGAAGACCUCUGCAAGCAAAGCCCCAGAUAGAUUUACUAAUGGAUUUUUGAGUCCAGGCAGUUAGGUUUUUUUUAAAAAAAAAAAAAAAAAACCUAUCUAUAGCAAAAGUUAUUGAUCUUUUUGUCUCUCAGUCCAAGAGUUCAGGUCAGAGGAAAUGGAUCUUCCCAUUGUUACAUAAGUUUUUUUUAGUUUUGGAAGAGAACACUGAUGUAUAUAUAUUGAGAACUUGUAUACGUUGGAUACAGAAUGGAUGAUCCACGCUACUGGGUAAAGGUGUGUAGGCCUCAUUAACUAUGUGUUUAUUUUGAGCAAUGCUCUGACAAACUGAUACAUGUCUAGAAACAGCUAGUCUGCUCUGAGACCGGAGCUAUGUGCUCCAGAAGUCAGAGUGCCCUGACCAAUAUUUCAUCAAGACAUGUACCUGUAUCUACUCAUAAUUAGGGCGAGUUAGCUAAAGUUUUCAAGCUUUUUAACCCAUAUGAUGGUAAAGCCAGUUUAGGACGAAUUGCACCUGAGGUCCACAUUAAGCAUAUCUGUGCUUGUUUCACUGCAAUAAGUAACUACAGGUCAGCAUUAGGCACAAGCAAGGAAAGUAAUGGACACGGCAGUCCUGCUGCCAAGUCCUAUGGUGACCCAGAGUAAGCCAUAAGUGGACUCGGUUGUUCCCUCUGACAGCAGGAUCUCACCAUCAUGUGUCCCUUCCACCCUGGCUCUUUGAGUAAGCAAACCCUCAGGCCAGUCAUGUGCUGUAUAUGAGCAAGGUUAGACUUACACAGCUGCAUAGAGGCCUCCCACUGCUGAGUGAAUGAAUCCUCUCACAAUUGUGUGCAAAAUGAAGGAAAGGAUCUGAAAGAAGCAGAAAAAAUGCUGAAUAGCAGUCCAAAACCACCACUCCACCUCUGCACCUGCUGCUCCUCCAGUUCCUGGACAGGCCUAAGCAGCUCCAGAAACGAAGCUCCCUCACACACUAGGGUCAGCGCAAGAAGAGACAGACAGUUUGAGAUGAUGGCACAUUGCGCUUUCUGAACCUGACUUAUCUUUUUCUCUUGAAAAUUGUUACAUGUCAGCUGAGAUGUUGACAAUUGCAGCAGAAGAGCAAUCUGGUUUAAAGGUUCCAUAUAAUAGAAGCAUAUGGAUUACACUCUCGGAUCUAGCUAGCUAACAUGGCCUGAUCCUAUCUACUUCAAUGGGCUUUAGAUCAGCCUUCUGGUACUCCUCAUGGCUGAAUGCCACUUACAAUUAAGAUCUUUCUUCCUCUUCUCUUUAGUCAGAACUGUGGUCCAGCAAGUCAGUACCCUCUCCCCAACACUAAGAAACAGGACACCACGCCCUAAUCUUCUGUUAACAUUAUCAUGUUUGUACCCUAGAAUGCUUUCACCCCAAGUUCCUAACUCUGCCUGGAAUUUGUUCCCAGUUACAGUUCCCCUUUCUGCCAAUGAGUAUAUCCCACACUUCAGUCUGUCUGCAGAAGGGAGGUUGCUGUUCUGAAAGUGUAUCCUCGGGUUUUACAAUGGUUCAGGUUCUUCCGUUACUGGAAAUGCCAAAUUUCAACAGAGCAGACAGAUCUGCAUGCCUGCUCUCUCCUUAGCUUUAUUCACUCACUUCCAGCUUGAUCCUCUCUAACAGCUUUGAGAGAAAAAUAAAAAAGCAUUCAGUGUGUGCGAGGGGAGGUGAGGAGAGGAGCAGCUGGCAUCCUCCCAGUGCAUUUUGUGCUAUAGAAACGUAGGGUUGGAUGGAAACUCGAGAGGUCAUCAAAGUCCUGUCUCCUGAUGUCUCAUGCCUCUUCCAGGUGCAUACCACAGGCCAAACAUUUACAUAUGUAUAACCCCACUGACACUAAAGGGUGUAACUGAGGACAACAUUUGGCCCACGACUUGAACUGUGGAGUCUGUGCAGGUAUCAAAACUUUACAGAUUUUCUAGGAACCUCCUGCUUAUCUGUAGCUCAGACUUGGAUUAAUAAAAGGCACUACUGACAAGAGUUGGUGCUCUAGGCCUAAAUCUCAGGGUUUAUUUAUUUUAUAUGAAAGUGUGUGUUUAUUUGCAAGUAUGAGGACUAUAAAGGCCUGAAAACAUGAACACAGUACAGACCAACUCAGUGACAUCUGCCUGA
Long non-coding RNA from Chelonia mydas (Green sea turtle), 2615 nucleotides. RefSeq lists it as uncharacterized. The transcript has 3 exons. NCBI's taxonomy places the organism in Eukaryota, Metazoa, Chordata, Testudines, Cheloniidae. The record is from RefSeq and is a predicted model, not a curated record.